RNAcentral lists this ribosomal RNA (484 nucleotides) under uncultured bacterium. RNAcentral's name for it is "partial 16S ribosomal RNA". It matches the Rfam family "Bacterial small subunit ribosomal RNA", at positions 30 to 507 of the family's 1533-position model. The record is from RNAcentral.
AUUGAACGCUGGCGGCAGGCCUAACACAUGCAAGUCGAGCGGAUGAAGGGAGUUUGCUCCUGGAUUCAGCGGCGGACGGGUGAGUAAUGCCUAGGAAUCUGCCUGGUAGUGGGGGAUAACGUCCGGAAACGGGCGCUAAUACCGCAUACGUCCUGAGGGAGAAAGUGGGGGAUCUUCGGACCUCACGCUAUCAGAUGAGCCUAGGUCGGAUUAGCUAGUUGGUGGGGUAAAGGCCUACCAAGGCGACGAUCCGUAACUGGUCUGAGAGGAUGAUCAGUCACACUGGAACUGAGACACGGUCCAGACUCCUACGGGAGGCAGCAGUGGGGAAUAUUGGACAAUGGGCGAAAGCCUGAUCCAGCCAUGCCGCGUGUGUGAAGAAGGUCUUCGGAUUGUAAAGCACCUUAAGUUGGGAGGAAGGGCAGUAAGUUAAUACCUUGCUGUUUUGACGUUACCAACAGAAUAAGCACCGGCUAACUUCGUG